Molecule: unclassified non-coding RNA, 422 nt
Organism: Parasteatoda tepidariorum (common house spider)
Lineage: Eukaryota; Metazoa; Arthropoda; Arachnida; Araneae; Theridiidae
Source: RefSeq, a predicted model, not a curated record
UUUCGAUUUAGCGAGCCCGAGAACUCAAACCAGCAGAAAGGAGAAUUAAUGCACCUCGUUGAAGUGAGCGAAUUCUCUGAUCUUGGCAGAUAUGUUAUUUUGAAGCCAUCUGUAAAGGCUAUCUAUGCUCUUUUACUUCAGCACCAUCUUGGAAUUGGCGAUGAUGUAUUGUAAAUUAAAAUGAAAAAGGAAACAGUGUUUUGAAAGUCUCUCAGUAGUUACAAACGCCAUCUUGGCUGCUACCUUCAGACUGUUUAAAGAAAUUAGCUGACUAGAAAAAGCUGAAAAAUUUGGUGAAAUUCUUGCCACCGCCAACGACCGGGAAGGCAGGAAGACUAAGUUUGCCUCAACUGACACAGUUUUGUUUUAGAAACAAUUUAUUGUAUUAAAGAAUACAAUAAAUUAUAGAAAUUAGUAUAUUA